GUUGAGGGGAAUGUUGUCUGGUCCGAGACCUAACACAGGGCGGAUUUAGCUGCGGCAAAGCUUGGUGAGGGGUUUCGGACCAGGCUUCAUUCCCCCCAAC
This 100-nucleotide microRNA precursor is filed under the name Leersia perrieri. RNAcentral's name for it is "pre miRNA mir-166". It matches the Rfam family "mir-166 microRNA precursor family". From Rfam's summary of the family: This family represents the plant microRNA (miRNA) precursor mir-166. Animal miRNAs are transcribed as ~70nt precursors and subsequently processed by the Dicer enzyme to give a ~22nt product. The record is from Rfam by way of RNAcentral. Lineage: Eukaryota; Viridiplantae; Streptophyta; Magnoliopsida; Poales; Poaceae.